RNAcentral lists this transfer RNA (85 nucleotides) under Felis catus (domestic cat). It matches the Rfam family "tRNA". From Rfam's summary of the family: Transfer RNA (tRNA) molecules are approximately 80 nucleotides in length. Lineage: Eukaryota; Metazoa; Chordata; Mammalia; Carnivora; Felidae. The record is from Rfam by way of RNAcentral.
GCCUAGUUGGCUCAGUGGGUUAAGCGUCUGACUUCAGCUCAGGUCAUGAGCUCACAGUUUGUGGGUUAGAGCCCUACAUCUGGCU